GAAUCUGAAUUUUAAGCAAGCUAAAUCAUUAAAGAUAUAUAAGCCAAACAAUUGAUUGCAUGAUAUGAAGGCUUAUAUAAUUCCAAAUGAAAGGGGGAGCUUUAACUCCGAAAUUUAUUGUUCACACCUUUCAAGCUUGGAUAAAUUAAAUUACCAGACAUCUGAAUUCAUUUAUGGAUUUUACUUCCUUGUUUAUAGAGCAAUUCACUUUACAUAUACUCAAUGUUUUGUCAUCAUCAAAAAGGGAGAGAUUGUGGAGUGAUUGAUUAAAAUCCUAUUUGAUUUUGAUGAGCUCAAAGCAUUUGAGUAUAUCUCUUGUUUACUAAUGAAUUCAAUUAAGUGUUUCAGUGAAAAUUUUGUCUAAGUGUCUCUAGACUUGGUUCAUAAUAUUUUGGAUAAGUUAAGAAGUCAGCUUGAACCAAAGUCUGAGACUCGAGUCGACUCCAGAGUAUCACGAGUCGACUCCAAGCGUAUCAAGUUCACUGGCACGAGCUCGAGUCGACUUCGGAUCAGUACGAGUCGACUCCGACUGAGAACAGACAGACGAACAGAAAGCAUCAACUCAAAACCUGUCAGCGAGUCGACUCCUGAACUGCGCGAGUCGACUCCGAUAUUCACCGAGUCGACUCCAGGGUAGUAUGAGUCGACUCCUAGGAGUCACAGGCAGAAAAGUCAGAGAGCAGUUUUCGGGUCUGAGAUUCGAGUCGACUCCAGUGGAACGCGAGUCGACUCCGAUGGUUGGCAA
RNAcentral lists this long non-coding RNA (745 nucleotides) under Phoenix dactylifera (date palm). RNAcentral describes it as "long non-coding RNA (PDAC_LNC011335)". The record is from RNAcentral. Lineage: Eukaryota; Viridiplantae; Streptophyta; Magnoliopsida; Arecales; Arecaceae.